AAAUUGAAGAGUUUGAUCAUGGCUCAGAUUGAACGCUGGCGGCAGGCCUAACACAUGCAAGUCGAACGGUAACAGAAAGCAGCUUGCUGCUUUGCUGACGAGUGGCGGACGGGUGAGUAAUGUCUGGGAAACUGCCUGAUGGAGGGGGAUAACUACUGGAAACGGUAGCUAAUACCGCAUAACGUCGCAAGACCAAAGAGGGGGACCUUCGGGCCUCUUGCCAUCGGAUGUGCCCAGAUGGGAUUAGCUAGUAGGUGGGGUAAA
This 264-nucleotide ribosomal RNA is filed under the name Escherichia coli. Its description in RNAcentral is "partial 16S ribosomal RNA". It matches the Rfam family "Bacterial small subunit ribosomal RNA", at positions 1 to 261 of the family's 1533-position model. Lineage: Bacteria; Pseudomonadati; Pseudomonadota; Gammaproteobacteria; Enterobacterales; Enterobacteriaceae. The record is from RNAcentral.